UUCCUUUCACUUCACCUCCCCGACCCACAGCUGCCUCUGCCCCUCCAGCGCCUGCGGCCAGGAUGGAGGGAGGGUGGCCUGGGCCCUUCUGGGGGACACCCAGGGUCCCUGUGUGCACCUCAUGCCCCACCCCCACCAGGGAAGGUGAGUGUCCCAGAGGAGGAGCUGGACGCCAUGCUGCAGGAGGGCAAGGGCCCCAUCAACUUCACCGUCUUCCUCACGCUCUUUGGGGAAAAGCUCAAUGGGACAGACCCCGAGGAAGCCAUCCUGAGUGCCUUCCGCAUGUUUGACCCCAGCGGCAAAGGGGUGGUGAACAAGGAUGAGUUCAAGCAGCUUCUCCUGACCCAGGCAGACAAGU
This 358-nucleotide small RNA is filed under the name Pongo abelii (Sumatran orangutan). RNAcentral describes it as "retained intron". Lineage: Eukaryota; Metazoa; Chordata; Mammalia; Primates; Hominidae. The record is from RNAcentral.